CCUACGGGAGUCAGCAGUGGGGAAUAUUGCACACUGGGGGAAACCCUGAUGCAGCGACGCCGCGUGAGUGAAGAAGUAUCUCGGUACGUAAAGCUCUAUCAGCAGGGCAGAAAAUGACGGUACCUGACUAAGAAGCCACGGCUAACUACGUGCCAGCAGCCGCGGUAAUACGUAGGGGGCAAGCGUUAUCCGGAUUUACUGGGUGUAAAGGGAGCGUAGACGGCAGGACAAGUCUGGAGUGAAAGCCCGGGGCUGAACCCCGGAACUGCCUUGGAAACUGUGCGGCUGGAGUGCAGGAGGGGUAAGCGGAAUUCCUAGUGUAGCGGUGAAAUGCGUAGAUAUUAGGAGGAACACCGGUGGCGAAGGCGGCUUACUGGACUGUAACUGACGUUGAGGCUCGAAAGCGUGGGGAGCAAACAGGAUUAGAUACCCGGGUAGUC
Molecule: ribosomal RNA, 440 nt
Filed under: uncultured bacterium
Lineage: Bacteria
Description: partial 16S ribosomal RNA
Rfam family: Bacterial small subunit ribosomal RNA
Source: RNAcentral